AGAGUUUGAUCCUGGCUCAGGAUGAACGCUGGCGGCGUGCCUAAUACAUGCAAGUCGAGCGAACGGACGAGAAGCUUGCUUCUCUGAUGUUAGCGGCGGACGAGUGAGUAACACGUGGAUAACCUACCUAUAAGACUGGGAUAACUUCGGGAAACCGGAGCUAAUACCGGAUAAUAUUUUGAACCGCAUGGUUCAAAAGUGAAAGACGGUCUUGCUGUCACUUAUAGAUGGAUCCGCGCUGCAUUAGCUAGUUGGUAAGGUAACGGCUUACCAAGGCAACGAUGCAUAGCCGACCUGAGAGGGUGAUCGGCCACACUGGAACUGAGACACGGUCCAGACUCCUACGGGAGGCAGCAGUAGGGAAUCUUCCGCAAUGGGCGAAAGCCUGACGGAGCAACGCCGCGUGAGUGAUGAAGGUCUUCGGAUCGUAAAACUCUGUUAUUAGGGAAGAACAUAUGUGUAAGUAACUGUGCACAUCUUGACGGUACCUAAUCAGAAAGCCACGGCUAACUACGUGCCAGCAGCCGCGGUAAUACGUAGGUGGCAAGCGUUAUCCGGAAUUAUUGGGCGUAAAGCGCGCGUAGGCGGUUUUUUAAGUCUGAUGUGAAAGCCCACGGCUCAACCGUGGAGGGUCAUUGGAAACUGGAAAACUUGAGUGCAGAAGAGGAAAGUGGAAUUCCAUGUGUAGCGGUGAAAUGCGCAGAGAUAUGGAGGAACACCAGUGGCGAAGGCGACUUUCUGGUCUGUAACUGACGCUGAUGUGCGAAAGCGUGGGGAUCAAACAGGAUUAGAUACCCUGGUAGUCCACGCCGUAAACGAUGAGUGCUAAGUGUUAGGGGGUUUCCGCCCCUUAGUGCUGCAGCUAACGCAUUAAGCACUCCGCCUGGGGAGUACGACCGCAAGGUUGAAACUCAAAGGAAUUGACGGGGACCCGCACAAGCGGUGGAGCAUGUGGUUUAAUUCGAAGCAACGCGAAGAACCUUACCAAAUCUUGACAUCCUUUGACAACUCUAGAGAUAGAGCCUUCCCCUUCGGGGGACAAAGUGACAGGUGGUGCAUGGUUGUCGUCAGCUCGUGUCGUGAGAUGUUGGGUUAAGUCCCGCAACGAGCGCAACCCUUAAGCUUAGUUGCCAUCAUUAAGUUGGGCACUCUAAGUUGACUGCCGGUGACAAACCGGAGGAAGGUGGGGAUGACGUCAAAUCAUCAUGCCCCUUAUGAUUUGGGCUACACACGUGCUACAAUGGACAAUACAAAGGGCAGCGAAACCGCGAGGUCAAGCAAAUCCCAUAAAGUUGUUCUCAGUUCGGAUUGUAGUCUGCAACUCGACUACAUGAAGCUGGAAUCGCUAGUAAUCGUAGAUCAGCAUGCUACGGUGAAUACGUUCCCGGGUCUUGUACACACCGCCCGUCACACCACGAGAGUUUGUAACACCCGAAGCCGGUGGAGUAACCUUUUAGGAGCUAGCCGUCGAAGGUGGGACAAAUGAUUGGGGUGAAGUCGUAACAAGGUAGCCGUAUCGGAAGGUGCGGCUGGAUCACCU
RNAcentral lists this ribosomal RNA (1540 nucleotides) under Staphylococcus aureus VET0093R. RNAcentral's name for it is "16S ribosomal RNA". It matches the Rfam family "Bacterial small subunit ribosomal RNA". The record is from RNAcentral. RNAcentral also lists the same sequence under 4 other names. Lineage: Bacteria; Bacillati; Bacillota; Bacilli; Caryophanales; Staphylococcaceae.